AUCAUGUUGUUUAAUUCGAUGAUACGCGAAGAACCUUACCAGGUCUUGACACUCCCCCGCGAUGCUUUAGAGAUAAAGCGGAGGUAUUCGGGGAGACAGGUGGUGCAUGGUUGUCGUCAGCUCGUGUCGUGAGAUGUUGGGUUAAGUCCCGCAACGAGCGCAACCCUAUUGCUAGUUACCAUCAUUAAGUUGGGGACUCUAGCGAGACUGCCAGUGAUAAACUGGAGGAAGGUGGGGAUGACGUCAAAUCAUCAUGCCCCUUAUGACCUGGGCUACAAACGUGAUACAAUGGCUGGAACAAAGGGAUGCGAAGCAGUGAUGUGGAGCGAAACCCAUAAAAACAGUCUCAGUUCGGAUUGAAGUCUGCAACUCGACUUCAUGAAGUCGGAAUCGCUAGUAAUCGCGGAUCAGAACGCCGCGGUGAAUACGUUCUCGGGGUUU
This 441-nucleotide ribosomal RNA is filed under the name uncultured Acholeplasma sp. RNAcentral describes it as "bacterial SSU rRNA". It matches the Rfam family "Bacterial small subunit ribosomal RNA", at positions 936 to 1382 of the family's 1533-position model. Lineage: Bacteria; Bacillati; Mycoplasmatota; Mollicutes; Acholeplasmatales; Acholeplasmataceae. The record is from RNAcentral.